This 253-nucleotide ribosomal RNA is filed under the name uncultured bacterium. Its description in RNAcentral is "partial 16S ribosomal RNA". It matches the Rfam family "Bacterial small subunit ribosomal RNA", at positions 524 to 776 of the family's 1533-position model. The record is from RNAcentral.
UACAGAGGGUGCGAGCGUUGUCCGGAAUCACUGGGCGUAAAGGGCGCGUAGGUGGCGCCGCAAGUCCAUGGUGGAAGCUCGAUGCUCAACAUCGAGUCGGCCACGGAGACUGCGGGGCUCGAGCACUGUAGGGGCAGAUGGAAUUCCGGGUGUAGCGGUGGAAUGCGUAGAGAUCCGGAAGAACACCGGUGGCGAAGGCGGUCUGCUGGGCAGUUGCUGACACUGAGGCGCGACAGCGUGGGGAGCAAACAGG